GUUUCCUACGGGAGGCAGCAGUGAGGAAUAUUGGUCAAUGGGCUAAGGCCUGAACCAGCCAAGUCGCGUGAGGGAAGACGGUCCUAUGGAUUGUAAACCUCUUUUGUCGGGGAGCAACGAGGACACGUGUGGCCGAAGUGAGAGUACCCGAAGAAAAAGCAUCGGCUAACUCCGUGCCAGCAGCCGCGGUAAUACGGAGGAUGCGAGCGUUAUCCGGAUUUAUUGGGUUUAAAGGGUGCGUAGGAGGCACAUUAAGUCAGCGGUAAAAUCGCGGGGCUCAACCCC
Molecule: ribosomal RNA, 285 nt
Filed under: uncultured bacterium
Lineage: Bacteria
Description: partial 16S ribosomal RNA
Rfam family: Bacterial small subunit ribosomal RNA
Source: RNAcentral